GGACCUCAGGUAUGUAUGAUGGAUCUAGUCUUAAUAAGUUAUACAUCCAGAAGGACCGCUCCAUCAUGAGCUGUGCAAAAAUUAGUAAAUUAAUUGAUCUCAAUGCAAAACAGGUAGUUUAGGAAAAUUGUCAUCUAACCUUUCAAACAACAACUUGUGAAGAUGAAAACCUCGGAGCUAACAUUAAAAAUAAAGACAAAACCCUAAGUAAUAAUAAAAAAUUAACAACUAAAUCAAAUUGACAAGG
Molecule: long non-coding RNA, 247 nt
Filed under: Sorghum bicolor (sorghum)
Lineage: Eukaryota; Viridiplantae; Streptophyta; Magnoliopsida; Poales; Poaceae
Description: long non-coding RNA (SBIC_LNC018357)
Source: RNAcentral